RNAcentral lists this ribosomal RNA (497 nucleotides) under uncultured bacterium. RNAcentral's name for it is "partial 16S ribosomal RNA". It matches the Rfam family "Bacterial small subunit ribosomal RNA", at positions 28 to 507 of the family's 1533-position model. The record is from RNAcentral.
GAUGAACGCUGGCGGCGUGCCUAAUACAUGCAAGUCGAGCGAACAGACGAGGAGCUUGCUCCUCUGACGUUAGCGGCGGACGGGUGAGUAACACGUGGAUAACCUACCUAUAAGACUGGGAUAACUCCGGGAAACCGGAGCUAAUACCGGAUAAUAUAUUGAACCGCAUGGUUCAAUAAUGAAAGACGGUUUUGCUGUCACUUAUAGAUGGAUCCGCGCCGCAUUAGCUAGUUGGUAAGGUAACGGCUUACCAAGGCAACGAUGCGUAGCCGACCUGAGAGAGUGAUCGGCCACACUGGAACUGAGACACGGUCCAGACUCCUACGGGAGGCAGCAGUAGGGAAUCUUCCGCAAUGGGCGAAAGCCUGACGGAGCAACGCCGCGUGAGUGAUGAAGGUCUUCGGAUCGUAAAACUCUGUUAUUAGGGAAGAACAAAUGUGUAAGUAACUAUGCACGUCUUGACGGUACCUAAUCAGAAAGCCACGGCUAACUACGUG